GUGAUAAACGUCACUUCUCCAGCUUGCUAAACUCUGGAGUUUGUGCUGCCAUGCUGCGCUAUUGCUCCAAGAUGUCCUGAGGUGCCUUGCCUAUGUACAGCCCUUCUGUUUGCCUUUAAAAAAGGUAUGAGAAAACAAAGAAAAAUACUAAUUUUUGAAGGUGCAAGAUGUAUGUAUGCAGCCAUGGUUCCUGAGCAUUGUGUCUGCAUUUCCUGUGCAAAGCGCGUGCAGGAGGUGUGGGCAGAGCACAGCCUGCUUGCCGUAGGUCACAUCAGCACCCAAAAACCCGUGUACAGAGAAGCCGAAAUAGGAGAAAGGGGACGGCAGUCUGGUGCCCUGGCAGACAAAACUACGCCAACACCAGUGACCACAGGCAGGACUAGGGACGUCUGCUGAGAGCAGGGCUGGAAGGCGACGGCAGAUGUCAAGUCAUUCCCAAAGCAGAACAGCUGGUGUUGCACCAUCACCAUACAGCGUCACUGCACCUCUCCUGUUGGCUGCUCACCAGCACAUCAGGGGCAGAGAGCUGCUGAAGGCGAGACCUGGGUCCCAUGUCACGCAGCACAAGGUCAGGGAGGGUGUCUGUGUCAUACAUACCUGGCUUCUAACUCAGGGCUUCACAAAAGCUCCAGCCGUCAGAGACCAGAGAUACCGUGCCAGAAAUCAGAAGUGCUCUCCCCUCGCCUACAACACCAAGCCAGAGCCCAGGCUGAACUAGGAGGGAUGUGCCUGGAGGGGGGCUACAGCUCCUCUGCCUCUGCAGUGCCCACACCUUCGUUGCACAUUGGCAAGUUGUCCAAGGAUCAAGCUCCCCUCGCCAAGUGCAGCAUUGCAGCGGAGCAUAUCUCCAUCCAGAGGAGUGACCUUCGAUUCCCAGGGGUCUUUGUCUUAAUGAGGACUGUGCAUGGAGGCAGCUGAAGCCAACUAUAAUCUCCUCUUUCAAUACAGCAUGCAAAUGGAAAUAAAGCUAGUAGAAUAGCACA
Cygnus olor (mute swan) is the source of this 983-nucleotide long non-coding RNA. RefSeq lists it as uncharacterized. The record is from RefSeq and is a predicted model, not a curated record. NCBI's taxonomy places the organism in Eukaryota, Metazoa, Chordata, Aves, Anseriformes, Anatidae. The transcript has 2 exons.